RNAcentral lists this ribosomal RNA (439 nucleotides) under uncultured bacterium. RNAcentral's name for it is "bacterial SSU rRNA". It matches the Rfam family "Bacterial small subunit ribosomal RNA", at positions 338 to 792 of the family's 1533-position model. The record is from RNAcentral.
CCUACGGGGGGCAGCAGUGGGGAAUAUUGGGCAAUGGGCGCAAGCCUGACCCAGCAACGCCGCGUGAAGGAAGAAGGCCCUCGGGUUGUAAACUUCUUUUAUUCGGGACGAAGAAGUGACGGUACCGAAUGAAUAAGCCACGGCUAACUACGUGCCAGCAGCCGCGGUAAUACGUAGGUGGCAAGCGUUAUCCGGAUUUACUGGGUGUAAAGGGCGUGUAGGCGGGACUGCAAGUCAGAUGUGAAAACCAUGGGCUCAACCCAUGGCCUGCAUUUGAAACUGUAGUUCUUGAGUGAUGGAGAGGCAGGCGGAAUUCCGUGUGUAGCGGUGAAAUGCGUAGAUAUACGGAGGAACACCAGUGGCGAAGGCGGCCUGCUGGACAUUAACUGACGCUGAGGCGCGAAAGCGUGGGGAGCAAACAGGAUUAGAUACCCCAGUA